This 497-nucleotide ribosomal RNA is filed under the name uncultured bacterium. RNAcentral's name for it is "partial 16S ribosomal RNA". It matches the Rfam family "Bacterial small subunit ribosomal RNA", at positions 28 to 507 of the family's 1533-position model. The record is from RNAcentral.
GACGAACGCUGGCGGCGUGCCUAAUACAUGCAAGUAGAACGCUGAAGAGAGGAGCUUACUCUUCUUGGAUGAGUUGCGAACGGGUGAGUAACGCGUAGGUAACCUGCCUUGUAGCGGGGGAUAACUAUUGGAAACGAUAGCUAAUACCGCAUAACAAUGGAUGACACAUGUCAUUUAUUUGAAAGGGGCAAUUGCUCCACUACAAGAUGGACCUGCGUUGUAUUAGCUAGUAGGUGAGGUAAUGGCUCACCUAGGCGACGAUACAUAGCCGACCUGAGAGGGUGAUAGGCCACACUGGGACGGAGACACGGCCCAGACUCCUACGGGAGGCAGCAGGAGGGAAUCUUCGGCAAUGGGGGCAACCCGGACCGAGCAACGCCGCGUGAGUGAAGAAGGUUGUCGGAUCGUAAAGCUCUGUUGUAAGUCAAGAACGGGUGUGAGAGUGGAAAGUUCACACUGUGACGGUAGCUUACCAGAAAGGGACGGCUAACUACGUG